CCCUGCCCUGCUGGGCUUCCACCAGGCCGCCAGGAGUCAAGCCCAGUCACGGCUGGAGCCUCUUCCCUGAAUCUUUAGCAAUUCAGCUUUGGGGGGAUGAUGGGCGGUGCCUGCUGUGCCCAUCACACCUGGAAACUGGAUUUGAAUUUGCCUCUGAGCCAAUGAGCUGCCCCGGACACCGGCUGCCAGAUGCUAAGUUCACCUGGAUUCUUCCAUUUCAACCUCAGAAGCAUCCUGGGUUAGAAAUGAUACUCUUGCCAUUUUCCAGAUGAAGCUCCCACAGCUCGGGGCGACCCUCCGACCCGAGCUGCAUCCCCUGCCCCCCCGGCCGGUCGUGGAUGGCUUGGUCGGGUUCCCGUGAAUGCAGAACUUGAGGCCUUGAGGGCAGGUGGUUUGUCUGGGGAGGUGGUCCCCAGGAAGCCAGAGCCAGACACGGAUGGCGGAAAAGCUGAGGAGAAGCUGCUUUGUCCAUGGCUGAGUAGCCUUCCUGGGCUAUGAGUUUCUGCCAGAUCACCAACAGCUGUGCCCAGUUUGUGCCAGCCAAAACCUGAACCACAGGCUUCUCUCUGGUUAAGUACAGUAUGGUCUAGGGGUAGCUGAAGCUUCCAGCUGGAGAAGGCUGGAGAAGAUCUUGGAGCAAACCCCUGCAGGGGCCACACACCUGCUGCAUCCUGGAGAAAGUGAGCGUUGCCUGUGGACUUCCUGUUGCCGGAGGCAGGAAGCUCUGGGGUGCAGCCCAGCCCUUUGAAUGGUCUCCAGCAUCCGCUGGCUCUGGGACUUCACGCUCUGCUCAAUAGAAUCACUUUACCGGGCAUGCCACAAUGGUGAUUCAUCUCGCCCGGGAGUCACAGCCCCGCUCCUGCGGCCGUCUAAAGGUGCUGAAAUGCAUAACUCCUGUGUGCACUUACAAACUUCUCAGUGCACCGGUGCUGCGGGCCUCUUUCGUUCCAGGCAGAAAUUCAAGAGACCUGGAUUCCAAUCCGAUGCUCGUCUCUAACCGGCCUCGAGCAAGGCUUCGUUCGGUGUCUCCUGUUUUUAGAACGGGGACUAGAUCCCAUCUCUGUGAUGUGGACGGAGCACGGGGCUGUGCGACAGGAAUGGGGGUUUCAGCUUUGGCUCUGUCACCUGUCACCUGGGCAAGGCAUUCACUUAUGUCUCAGUGCCUCACGCUGUGGGAUGACAUGGCUGGAGAUGAUUCGUGUCCUUCAGGGUGUGACCUGAAGAACCCUUGUCCCCUAAGCAGCUAUCGAAAGAAGUCCUGGGAAAGGUUUGGGGAACUCUGGAGGCAAGGUUCCCUUCUCGGGAAGUCACAUCAGGGUACACAUUUGUAUAUUGCAGCCUCUGAAAGUCCCCUCAGAGACACCCAUCUAACUUUGCUUGAA
This 1382-nucleotide long non-coding RNA is filed under the name Equus caballus (horse). Its description in RNAcentral is "lncRNA (ENSECAG00000049316.1)". Lineage: Eukaryota; Metazoa; Chordata; Mammalia; Perissodactyla; Equidae. The record is from RNAcentral.